AUACGUAGGGGGCUAGCGUUAUCCGGAUUUACUGGGCGUAAAGGGUGCGUAGGUGGUUUCUUAAGUCAGAGGUGAAAGGCUACGGCUCAACCGUAGUAAGCCUUUGAAACUGGGAAACUUGAGUGCAGGAGAGGAGAGUGGAAUUCCUAGUGUAGCGGUGAAAUGCGUAGAGAUUAGGAAGAACACCAGUGGCGAAGGCGCUUCUCUGGACUGUAACUGACGCUGAGGCUCGAAAGCGUGGGGAGC
This 246-nucleotide ribosomal RNA is filed under the name uncultured bacterium. RNAcentral's name for it is "partial 16S ribosomal RNA". It matches the Rfam family "Bacterial small subunit ribosomal RNA", at positions 523 to 769 of the family's 1533-position model. The record is from RNAcentral.